GGGACACGUGGUAUCCUGUCUGAAUAUGGGGGGACCAUCCUCCAAGGCUAAAUACUCCUGACUGACCGAUAGUGAACCAGUACCGUGAGGGAAAGGCGAAAAGAACCCCGGCGAGGGGAGUGAAAAAGAACCUGAAACCGUGUACGUACAAGCAGUGGGAGCCUCUUAAUGGGGUGACUGCGUACCUUUUGUAUAAUGGGUCAGCGACUUAUAUUCUGUAGCAAGGUUAACCGAAUAGGGGAGCCGAAGGGAAACCGAGUCUUAACUGGGCGUUAAGUUGCAGGGUAUAGACCCGAAACCCGGUGAUCUAGCCAUGGGCAGGUUGAAGGUUGGGUAACACUAACUGGAGGACCGAACCGACUAAUGUUGAAAAAUUAGCGGAUGACUUGUGGCUGGGGGUGAAAGGCCAAUCAAACCGGGAGAUAGCUGGUUCUCCCCGAAAGCUAUUUAGGUAGCGCCUCGUGAAUUCAUCUCCGGGGGUAGAGCACUGUUUCGGCAAGGGGGUCAUCCCGACUUACCAACCCGAUGCAAACUGCGAAUACCGGAGAAUGUUAUCACGGGAGACACACGGCGGGUGCUAACGUCCGUCGUGAAGAGGGAAACAACCCAGACCGCCAGCUAAGGUCCCAAAGUCAUGGUUAAGUGGGAAACGAUGUGGGAAGGCCCAGACAGCCAGGAUGUUGGCUUAGAAGCAGCCAUCAUUUAAAGAAAGCGUAAUAGCUCACUGGUCGAGUCGGCCUGCGCGGAAGAUGUAACGGGGCUAAACCAUGCACCGAAGCUGCGGCAGCGACGCUUAUGCGUUGUUGGGUAGGGGAGCGUUCUGUAAGCCUGUGAAGGUGUGCUGUGAGGCAUGCUGGAGGUAUCAGAAGUGCGAAUGCUGACAUAAGUAACGAUAAAGCGGGUGAAAAGCCCGCUCGCCGGAAGACCAAGGGUUCCUGUCCAACGUUAAUCGGGGCAGGGUGAGUCGACCCCUAAGGCGAGGCCGAAAGGCGUAGUCGAUGGGAAACAGGUUAAUAUUCCUGUACUUGGUGUUACUGCGAAGAGGGGACGGAGAAGGCUAUGUUGGCCGGGCGACGGUUGUCCCGGUUUAAGCGUGUAGGCUGAUUUUCCAGGCAAAUCCGGAAAAUCAAGGCUGAGGCGUGAUGACGAGGCACUACGGUGCUGAAGCAACAAAUGCCCUGCUUCCAGGAAAAGCCUCUAAGCAUCAGGUAACAUCAAAUCGUACCCCAAACCGACACAGGUGGUCAGGUAGAGAAUACCAAGGCGCUUGAGAGAACUCGGGUGAAGGAACUAGGCAAAAUGGUGCCGUAACUUCGGGAGAAGGCACGCUGAUAUGUAGGUGAAGCGACUUGCUCGUGGAGCUGAAAUCAGUCGAAGAUACCAGCUGGCUGCAACUGUUUAUUAAAAACACAGCACUGUGCAAACACGAAAGUGGACGUAUACGGUGUGACGCCUGCCCGGUGCCGGAAGGUUAAUUGAUGGGGUUAGCGGCAACGCGAAGCUCUUGAUCGAAGCCCCGGUAAACGGCGGCCGUAACUAUAACGGUCCUAAGGUAGCGAAAUUCCUUGUCGGGUAAGUUCCGACCUGCACGAAUGGCGUAAUGAUGGCCAGGCUGUCUCCACCCGAGACUCAGUGAAAUUGAACUCGCUGUGAAGAUGCAGUGUACCCGCGGCAAGACGGAAAGACCCCGUGAACCUUUACUAUAGCUUGACACUGAACAUUGAGCCUUGAUGUGUAGGAUAGGUGGGAGGCUUUGAAGUGUGGACGCCAGUCUGCAUGGAGCCGACCUUGAAAUACCACCCUUUAAUGUUUGAUGUUCUAACGUUGGCCCGUAAUCCGGGUUGCGGACAGUGUCUGGUGGGUAGUUUGACUGGGGCGGUCUCCUCCUAAAGAGUAACGGAGGAGCACGAAGGUUGGCUAAUCCUGGUCGGACAUCAGGAGGUUAGUGCAAUGGCAUAAGCCAGCUUGACUGCGAGCGUGACGGCGCGAGCAGGUGCGAAAGCAGGUCAUAGUGAUCCGGUGGUUCUGAAUGGAAGGGCCAUCGCUCAACGGAUAAAAGGUACUCCGGGGAUAACAGGCUGAUACCGCCCAAGAGUUCAUAUCGACGGCGGUGUUUGGCACCUCGAUGUCGGCUCAUCACAUCCUGGGGCUGAAGUAGGUCCCAAGGGUAUGGCUGUUCGCCAUUUAAAGUGGUACGCGAGCUGGGUUUAGAACGUCGUGAGACAGUUCGGUCCCUAUCUGCCGUGGGCGCUGGAGAACUGAGGGGGGCUGCUCCUAGUACGAGAGGACCGGAGUGGACGCAUCACUGGUGUUCGGGUUGUCAUGCCAAUGGCACUGCCCGGUAGCUAAAUGCGGAAGAGAUAAGUGCUGAAAGCAUCUAAGCACGAAACUUGCCCCGAGAUGAGUUCUCCCUGACUCCUUGAGAGUCCUGAAGGAACGUUGAAGACGACGACGUUGAUAGGCCGGGUGUGUAAGCGCAGCGAUGCGUUGAGCUAACCGGUACUAAUGAACCGUGAGGCUUAACCUU
This 2527-nucleotide ribosomal RNA is filed under the name Escherichia coli. RNAcentral describes it as "partial 23S ribosomal RNA". It matches the Rfam family "Bacterial large subunit ribosomal RNA", at positions 419 to 2925 of the family's 2925-position model. The record is from RNAcentral. Lineage: Bacteria; Pseudomonadati; Pseudomonadota; Gammaproteobacteria; Enterobacterales; Enterobacteriaceae.